RNAcentral lists this ribosomal RNA (388 nucleotides) under uncultured bacterium. RNAcentral's name for it is "bacterial SSU rRNA". It matches the Rfam family "Bacterial small subunit ribosomal RNA", at positions 28 to 417 of the family's 1533-position model. The record is from RNAcentral.
GACGAACGCUGGCGGCGUGCUUAACACAUGCAAGUCGAGCGGUAAGGCCCUUUCGGGGGUACACGAGCGGCGAACGGGUGAGUGACACGUGGGUGACCUGCCCUCAGCUCUGGGAUAAGCCCGGGAAACUGGGUCUAAUACCGGAUAUGACUCCAUGACGCAUGUUGUGGGGUGGAAAGCCUUGUGCGGCUGAGGAUGGGCCCGCGGCCUAUCAGCUUGUUGGUGGGGUGAUGGCCUACCAAGGCGACGACGGGUAGCCGGCCUGAGAGGGCGACCGGCCACACUGGGACUGAGAUACGGCCCAGACUCCUACGGGAGGCAGCAGUGGGGAAUCUUGCGCAAUGGGCGAAAGCCUGACGCAGCGACGCCGCGUGAGGGAUGACGGCCU